Molecule: transfer RNA, 68 nt
Filed under: Lamiinae sp. 2 ACP-2013
Lineage: Eukaryota; Metazoa; Arthropoda; Insecta; Coleoptera; Cerambycidae
Description: tRNA-Val
Rfam family: tRNA
About the family: Transfer RNA (tRNA) molecules are approximately 80 nucleotides in length. Their secondary structure includes four short double-helical elements and three loops (D, anti-codon, and T loops). Further hydrogen bonds mediate the characteristic L-shaped molecular structure. tRNAs have two regions of fundamental functional importance: the anti-codon, which is responsible for specific mRNA codon recognition, and the 3' end, to which the tRNAs corresponding amino acid is attached (by aminoacyl-tRNA synthetases). tRNAs cope with the degeneracy of the genetic code in two manners: having more than one tRNA (with a specific anti-codon) for a particular amino acid; and 'wobble' base-pairing, i.e. permitting non-standard base-pairing at the 3rd anti-codon position.
Source: RNAcentral
AAAUUAGAGCUUGUUAAAGCAUUUUAUUUACAUUAAAAAGUUAAUUGUUAAAAUCAAUUUAAUUUGAU